This 433-nucleotide ribosomal RNA is filed under the name uncultured bacterium. Its description in RNAcentral is "partial 16S ribosomal RNA". It matches the Rfam family "Bacterial small subunit ribosomal RNA", at positions 29 to 507 of the family's 1533-position model. The record is from RNAcentral.
AACGAACGCUGGCGGCAUGCCUAACACAUGCAAGUCGAACGAAACCUUCGGGUCUAGUGGCGCACGGGUGCGUAACGCGUGGGAACCUGCCCUUAGGUUCGGAAUAACUCCCCGAAAGGUGUGCUAAUACCGGAUAAUGUCUUCGGACCAAAGAUUUAUCGCCGUUGGAUGGGCCCGCGUUGGAUUAGCUAGUUGGUAGGGUAAAAGCCUACCAAGGCGACGAUCCAUAGCUGGUCUGAGAGGAUGAUCAGGCACACUGGGAGUGAGACACGGACCAGACUCCUACGGGAGGCAGCAGUAGGGAAUAUUGGACGAUGGGCGAAAGCCUGAUCCAGCAAUGCCGCGUGAGUGAUGAAGGCCUUAGGGUUGUAAAGCUCUUUUACCCGGGAUGAUAAUGACAGUAACGGGAGAAUAAGCUCCGGCUAACUCCGUG